Molecule: RNA transcript, 2820 nt
Organism: Bombus pyrosoma
Lineage: Eukaryota; Metazoa; Arthropoda; Insecta; Hymenoptera; Apidae
Exons: 7
Source: RefSeq, a predicted model, not a curated record
AAAAAGAAAAUAAAUAUGAGAUUAAUAACAAUAAUUUGUACAUUGGAAAGAUAAGUAGAGCCUCUUUUAAUAUGCUCCUUUUUUAUUUUAAAUACUGUCUUUUAAGAUCUGUUUUAAAUAGGUAUACAUAAUUAAUUUAAGGUACUUUUGAAACAUGCCUUUUUUAUUUUAAAUAAGUAGCAACUUUUUAUUUUUACGUAAAUGAAAUGUAUUUUAUGUAUUUAUGCUAUACGUUGACGUUUUUUAUAGUCAUAAACAAGCUUCAAAAUUGGCCAUAUUUUGCCGCGAUAUAUUCAACGGCAAUAAACAAUCAAUAUGUUCGCGGGAGUAAUAUGAAAAUGUGCGCAUGUACGGAUAGUAUUCCUGUUCGAUAAUAACUGGUUUGUUUCUUCAGCUCCAGACAGUGAACCAUAGAAAUUUAACGAAUAACAAUAGGAAUUUCUAUUGAAUAGAAAUCGGAAGAUGUCGAAUAGUAAAUGUGUUAAACAGUUACGCAAAAAUUAUGUUAAAGAACAGCAAGAAAUGUCACAUUCGGAAAAACUACGAUUAAUAGAUGAUGAGUUGAAUGCAUUUUACAAAUAUUGUCAACAGGCUGGUUUCACAGAAGAGGAAAUGGAUAUUAUUUGUCAACCGUUAGUGGCUGCAAUGCGACGUUCUUGGCUACAGCUUGUUUUCCGUGGAACGCUUGUUCUGAUUGUCCUUGGUACUUUAGCUUGUCUAGCAGCCCAACUUGAUUUUGUUGGAACGCAUUUUACUGCAAUCAGUCGUCUUUUACUUAUCAAAGUUCUUCCAAUUUGGAACUGGCAACCCUUGUACUAUGAAAAUUGUAUGAUCAAUAAUCCUUUUUAUAAUGAUUACAUGAUAACAGAAGAAGACUGCGUGACUUGUGAAGCUCUAGAAACCAUUGAUCGCUUGUCAGAUGUGAGAUAUCGCAAUCUUGUUGAUAAUUAUUUGAGUAGGGAUGCACCUGCAAUUAUUACAGAUGCAAUGGACUCUUGGGCAGUUAUGAACACAGAUUAUUUCUGGUUUGAUAAUAUCACUCAUCUUUAUUUAGAAAACGAACGCUUAAUGGAAACAGUACCUUGUGCUUUAACUUCAAAUCUGAGAACUGGUUCGUCCGACUUGGCAGCAUUUUUACGUCGGGUACAUUCACCUGAAGUAGCUAAAUGGUUUGUCCACUGGCAAAAUUGUGACAUCAACGCGGUGAAGGUGUUGAGAAAAUAUUAUCAACGCCCGUACUUUCUUUCAAGUACUGUCUCACCAGCACAUUUUAAUUGGGUCCUUAUGUCGUCGGAUUACAAUAGUCCAAGUUAUAAAAAGGUUGAACUAGAUUCGGGUCUCAUAGCUUUAGCUCAACUACGGGGAGCUACGCAACUUCGUUUGACUCCUAUAAAUCCUUGCAAUAGUUCUUGCCCCGAACUAAUAGCAGAUUUGCAUCAGGGCGAGAUGCUUGUUUUUACUAAUUUAAUGUGGACUUUGGAAUACGCGCCGAUGAGAGGAUUAGACAACAUCGCAAUCUUGACUGAAACCGUCUGGGAGGAGGAUACAUAAACUAUAACACUUUUCUCUUUAUAUUGCGUUAGUCCAUGAUAUUCCGAAUCCAAGUCGACCAUUUUCUACUUUACGAUAGCACGUACAAAACCUUUUAUUUUACUAUUCUAUCGGAGGUUGAAGAAAAGGACUUGACGAGGAUACCAAAAAUUUUUCCGAUAUUUCAGUUGGGCUAACAAGGAAUAGAUUGUUAUGCACCGAUUCAUAGAAAAAACAAAGCGCAAGAUUACUGAAUGACAAACGUAGCUGGCGAUUCGACAUGCUUAAUCGAUGCGAUAAUUUGUUAUAUUAAAAGUUGUAUGAGUGUAUAUAAUCGAUUUCUUCAUUUGCGCUACGUUCUGUUUAUACAAUCUUAGGGUAUCGAUGCAAGAGAAGGAAUGACAAUAAUUGGCGCCUAGCUAAUAACACCAUCGAAGUAUGUUCCUCGGGUCUUCUAUCCCGCACUCUGCAACUACUUCUUUUCAACUCAUUUUCUUUUCAAACCAACUGCCCUCUCUGAUUUUUAUUCAUUAUAUCAUAUGCACCGAUAUACACACACGCACACGUAUGCACAUUCUUCCUCUUUUCUUUCUUUAUUCUAUCUUUCCAUAAAGUGUUUUCAUGGAACAAAGUUCUACGAUUCCGAAGAGAGCUUUAAUCUCGCAUCGAAGAUUAACACUCAUCGCUAAUAUCUGUUGGAAUAUCGUGUAUUAUUUAACUAACCGUUAUCUAAAUCGAAAUAACGCAUGUACAUCUAUUUUUCUCAGGAUGUGGAAAACACUUUUCUGAAAGAGAGGUUUCGGUAUGAGACCUAACACCGAUUACUUUAUUUAUUUAUUUGUUUGUUUUCAUCGAAUCGAAAGGAUUUUCCACGCGCUUCAGACGGUCUUCUCAGCGAAAGAGGAUCGACAAUCGAACGAACAUCGUUCCGCGAUCGAUUUAUUUAGGGCAUACACAUACGCAUCAUCCUCGGCACGGCUUAUAUUUGCAAUUCAUAUUGUAUUAGCUGUCGCGGUAUCAAAAGAUUGUUUUAUACGAAUCCAUUCAACGACUAAAUUUAUAACAAUGACAAUGUACAAGUGAGAUACUACACAAAAAUGAGCGUAGACAACGAACGAAACGAUUUCGUGGUAUCUAAGAGAAUCCAAUUUUCUCUCGUUUAUUAUAUUUCCCCACACUUUUUCAUUUAAUUUAUUAGAGCGUUAUUUAUGUUUUGUCUGCGCUUGUUUUUUUCUUUUUUUUUUUAUUUCGUUUCGUUUUAUUUUUGGUAAAUGUUUAAAUAAAAAGAUU